CCCUUAGAUGUUCUGGGCCGCACGCGCGCUACACUGACGAUGGCAACGAGUUUUUCCUUCGCCGAAAGGUGUGGGUAAUCUUUUGAAACAUCGUCGUGCUGGGGAUAGAUCAUUGCAAUUUUUGAUCUUGAACGAGGAAUUCCUAGUAAGCGCGAGUCAUCAGCUCGCGUUGAUUACGUCCCUGCCCUUUGUACACACCGCCCGUCGCUACUACCGAUUGAGUGGUCCGGUGAGGCUUUGGGAUCUGAGCAAAAAGAGCGUUUCGCUCGUUUGGCUCGGAAAACUCAGUCGAACCUUAUCAUUUAGAGGAAGGAGAAGUCGUAACA
Molecule: ribosomal RNA, 326 nt
Filed under: uncultured eukaryote
Lineage: Eukaryota
Description: partial 18S ribosomal RNA
Rfam family: Eukaryotic small subunit ribosomal RNA
Source: RNAcentral